GACGAACGCUGGCGGCGUGCUUAACACAUGCAAGUCGAACGAAGUGGCGAACGGGGGAGUAAUACGUGGGUAACCUGCCCUCCUUUUUGGGGUAAACCUUUGAAAAGGGGUCUAAUACCGAAUAACGGGGGAUAGGCUCGCGGCCUAUCUGCUUGGUGGUGGGGUGCUGGCCUACCAAGGCGGUGACGGGUAGCCGGCCUGAGAGGGUGACCGGGCACAUAGGGACUGGGAAAAGGCCGAGAAUACUCCGGGGGGGAGCAGUGGGGGAUAUGGGACAAAGGACGAAAGAGUGAUGCAGCGAAGACGCGGGAGGGAUGAAGGAUGUCGGGUUGUAACCCUCUGUAGGUAUCGAACGGGUAGGUGGAGAAGAAGGGCCGGCUAACUACGGGCCAGGAGCCGCGGUAAUAC
Molecule: ribosomal RNA, 408 nt
Filed under: uncultured bacterium
Lineage: Bacteria
Description: partial 16S ribosomal RNA
Rfam family: Bacterial small subunit ribosomal RNA
Source: RNAcentral